GAUUCGCACAUUCUGCUGGCCGAGUGUUUGAAAUAUAGUUUUAGUAGUUUUUAAAAAAAUAACCAAAAACAUAUGUAUGUGUGAAAAUUUAAUUUAUACUUUUAGAAAAUAGCGUUUUAACCACGAGCUGCAUAUAUUGCCCGGCUGGACCGUUGCUGCAAGACUAAAUGUAUGUGGAUGAAUUUCAAGCCGACGAAGACGUAUGUAUUAUAACCAUCACAAAUGUUGGCAAUGUACUACAACGCGCGCGUUUAUCAUUUAAUUUGCUCAAUUAAAGAACUUGGUGAUAAGAUGUGAUCGUACCGGAGAAUUUUCAGCGAGAAACAUUUCUUUAUUGCAAAUUUCUUAAUCGUUCAUUAAAUGAAGAUCUUAAGUAGCAAUAUAAAAAAUGUAUGCAUGUACUUAAAAAAUGCUUGCAAUAAAAAUGAUCUUAGUCCUAUCAUAUUGUAAAUA
Rhagoletis zephyria (snowberry fruit fly) is the source of this 453-nucleotide long non-coding RNA. RefSeq lists it as uncharacterized. Lineage: Eukaryota; Metazoa; Arthropoda; Insecta; Diptera; Tephritidae. The record is from RefSeq and is a predicted model, not a curated record.